AUGGAAGUAAAUACAGCAAAGAGAAAAUGGAAUCAUCAACCGCUGUGCAAGGUUGGAAACUGUAGGGAGUCCAGGAGUGGGAGAGCUUCUGUCCCGGAGGAGAAGAGCCAUGGAUAUGCUGCCACAAUUGAGAUCGCAGAGACAGCAAAUACAAAAUGGCACAAAGAAGAAAAUAAAUGUUCCUAAGAGGAUGACUAUCAAUACUUCCUCCAUACAUAAUUUAUUCAAAUGGAUUGUUCCUGUGGAAUAAGAACAGAGUUCAGCAAAUGCAUGUGCUUCCAAAUGCAACUGAAGCCACUCAAUGCAACAUAAGCCACUCAAUGUAAAAGAAGCCACUCAUUCCCACGGCAAUGUUACAUGUAAAGGUAAAUAUGCAUUGCCAGUUGGUUAAAAUGCAGCAAAAUAUGGCUAGUAAUUUGCUUCAAGAAGAAGGAGCUACAGGAAAGUUGACUUAACCACGGCCCUCAUUCAUUCAUGCAAGCAUUUAGCCCAUCUUUAUGGAAUGCUUACUAUGAGAGGCACCGAGGCCUGAUUUCUAAUACUCCCGUCUUGUUUGAUGCCAGGUUACCUCUAGCGUUUUCCUUUUUUUGAUUAGUUUUCUUUUGUAUUUUGGGGUAUUGUUUUAUUUUGGCCACCCCAUGGCACAUGGAGUGCCCAGUGUAGGGGUGUGGAAAAGGGCAUAGGGAGCUUGACAAGAGCAAAACCAUUUUGCUGCCACCGUCCAUCUUGGUGAACUUAAGGUGACUCAUAUGAGGUCUCUGAGAAAAACAAAGUCACUAAGACUUGAGAAACUCCAGGCCCGAUUGUUCUAAAGAUAUUCAAAAAUAGCUAGAAUUACUUGAGGUUAAUCGUUAAAGUAACAAUACAAGACAUUCUGUACAGCUAUCAUCUUUCUGUAUCCUACAUGUAACUAAAGGUUAAUGUAGCAUGUUAAACACAUAAGCAAGCACUGUAAACAUUUGGGGUCCAUGAUUGGGAAGCGAUUCCCCAUGGACCCACUGGUGUAAUAGAGCUGUUCUCCAGCUUCCUUGAGUGUCCCCUGAGGUGAUUUCUGGGAAUUCUACAACUCCAGGCCAGGGAUCAGAUGUGACAUACAUACACUGUAGCUGCAGCAACUCCCGAUCCUUUAACACACAGUGCCGGGGGGAAGGAACCUGCCUUCCAGUGCUGCAGAGAUGCCCCUGAUCCCCUUGCCCCACAGCAGGAACUCCCUUCCUAGAGACUUCUGAGAAUGCCAAGGAGAGAAUGAGUAGGUGAAGAACUUGGUGUCACCUGACAUGAAGGCUAGAUGCCAGGGUUUCCUAGAAGAUGAGUGGCGGGAAGUGAGGGGCAUGCCCCCCCAACAAGGGCUGUAGUGUCAGCCCUAUCAGUCCCCUCUCUGAUCUCAGGUCUUCAAGGGAAUGAAAACUUUCUCUCUCUUACAAAAUGCCUGUGAGACUAGAAGGCUGGCAUGAUCUUACUCCCCUCCCGCCAGAAUAAAGGCAUUCAUCCAAAUACCCA
RNAcentral lists this long non-coding RNA (1500 nucleotides) under Sus scrofa (pig). RNAcentral describes it as "lncRNA (ENSSSCG00050005585.1)". The record is from RNAcentral. Lineage: Eukaryota; Metazoa; Chordata; Mammalia; Artiodactyla; Suidae.